This 497-nucleotide ribosomal RNA is filed under the name uncultured bacterium. RNAcentral describes it as "partial 16S ribosomal RNA". It matches the Rfam family "Bacterial small subunit ribosomal RNA", at positions 28 to 507 of the family's 1533-position model. The record is from RNAcentral.
GACGAACGCUGGCGGCGUGCCUAAUACAUGCAAGUCGAACGCUGAAGAGAGGAGCUUGCUCUUCUUGGAUGAGUUGCGAGCGGGUGAGUAACGCGUAGGUAGCCUGCCUUGUAGCGGGGGAUAACUAUUGGAAACGAUAGCUAAUACCGCAUAACAAUGGAUGACACAUGUCAUUUAUUUGAAAGGGGCAAUUGUUCCACUACAAGAUGGACCUGCGUUGUAUUAGCUAGUAGGUGAGGUAAUGGCUCACCUAGGCGACGAUACAUAGCCGACCUGAGAGGGUGAUCGGCCACACUGGGACUGAGACACGGCCCAGACUCCUACGGGAGGCAGCAGUAGGGAAUCUUCGGCAAUGGGGGCAACCCUGACCGAGCAACGCCGCGUGAGUGAAGAAGGUUUUCGGAUCGUAAAGCUCUGUUGUAAGUCAAGAACGGGUGUGAGAGUGGAAAGUUCACACUGUGACGGUAGCUUACCAGAAAGGGACGGCUAACUACGUG